UUCCAACCGACCAAAGUGUAACAGUGUUUAUCAAUAGCAGAUAGGGAAAACUAUCAUAGAAUCGCAGUCCCUACUGCCACACGCUUCAAAGGCGAAAUAGAAAAAAUCGAGAGAAAACUGUCGUGGUUCAAUUAUCGAGUCUUAUCUAAAUAACAGCCACACGGUCCUCAAACAGCGGCCCUGCUGUGGUUACAUAAGAGAGUGGAAGAUUAGCGCCAACACAAAAUACACAACAUUCCCUAUCGGAUCGUCUACGGCGAAGCAUUUCAGAAACUUGUGCGCCACUGUGAAGUGUCCUUGCGUGUGGCUUACAUAAUCGAACGGAAGCAGUCCCUUGUCAGAGAGCGCAAAGAUGACGUCGCCGAAAAUAUCCGCGGACAAGUCGGCCGACAGCAACGCCAACACGCCGAAGCACCAGCCGGAGAAUGGCGCUAGUGGAAAUGAGACGCCCGCAGGAGAAGCAUCGAACGCCGAGGGGAGGGCUGGCGUGCAGGCGGUGGUGGCCGCAACCGUGCAGUCCAUCCGGGAGAGAGGCUUCUACGGGUGCUUCAGCUUGUUGAAGGUCUUCCGUUUUGCCAACCUUAUGAUCAAGCAGGGCUGCUAAACAACCUGUGCUGCUCGGUCCCGAUUUUCCCUCCACCUUUAGCUCCUAUCAAUUUUUAGUUUACGAAACAUAGCAUGUAUUUACACACCUUACCCGCAAGGAAGUUUGUAGGUCUCCAUUCUCCCGCUAAAUGGCCGUUCGGAAGAAGGGUCGCUCCUUCCGCCACGCGGCAGUUCGUGCGUUUCGUGCACCACGCGGUUCCGUUUACGUACGAAGAACUAAUUGAAGCCAAUGAGUCCAGCUCCAAACCGAAAGGCAGUGGCCCUCGUGGCCAAUUACGGAGUGUUGUGGGUUUGCCUUGCACGAACGGGCAGGCGGCAAAAGAGAUCACGAAACGGAACUCUACUGUUAUCAUAGGAACACAUAUGAAGCAUAGAACACAAUAUGCAGUUAUUUAUUACGCCAUUACAUCGUCGCCGUGUAGCCUACUACUUUAGUAAGUGAUUAGAAUAGGCCAAAUUUGUUUCCACGUGUGACACGAACCGCAACUAAGGGAAGUAAAAGGUAACAUAAACUACAGAUACAAAUAAUAAUGCAUCCUGAGAAAACACUCAAAGUGUCACAUAGAGAGAAUAAAAUUCUAGUAGUAAAUGUGAAGUAACAAUUGAUUCUACCGGUAUCGUCGUUUCGGUGAAUGUUUGCAGUCUAACGUUUCCUGCUCCUCUACAACAAAAUAACACCACGUUUGAGAAUUUAUUAAAUUGUUAUAAGCAAUUCCUCUGAGGACUUCUAAUGCGAAAUAAAACAGAAUAUUGCAUGUUUGAAAAACAUACAGUUUUGGAACGCGCUGUGAUGACCUGGACAAUUCCCCAGGGGUUGCGUAGUAGGGUUCGUUGAUUACUUCACUUUUUUUACUCCACUAAGAGUGGUCCACCAUCGUGUUUGCGUGCGUUUAGGUCGUGAUGAGGAUGAGGGGAAGGGAACCUUUACGGCCCAAUUUAUAGUACGAGUUAUGAUUUAUGUGUAUCAUUUCCAUGCUUGCGAUUCCCUCUCGCCGUAGUUCGUUUUGGCGUUUUAGCAUUACUUUUUGCACUGGAAAGAAAUAUUUUCCGUCGGUUUCGAUCGCGAAUGAUGGCACACGGGAGCAUAGAGCAUCGAGUCCACCGGAGUUAUGAUGGCGAGACAACAAUGUGCGUUCAAUGUGCGGCGCACGAAAAGCGACAGAUGUUUAUCUCUUCGGCCCAGUUUUCAUUAUCGCUCAUUUCCGGACACAUCCGGCUGUGGAUGUGGAUGUGUGCCAUGGUAUGGGCCCGUGUUGCCGCAGGUAUCCGAGGAGAUAUGCUCGCCGUCCACGUUAUGCUGUGAAGGCUUAUAUGGGAACGUGCACAUAAGGGGUACGGCGUUCCCGAAAUGACAAGGGAUGAUCGACGCGUUACCCGAUGGGAUGCGACAAUAUUUUGAUCGAACAAAUGAAACUACUCCGCGGAAAAUGGGGAAGGGAACGUAAAGAAAAGUAUCCCUAAAAAGUGUAACAGUAGAAAAAAAAAUGCUCGAUCCAUCCAUUUGGACAGUGGAAAAU
Long non-coding RNA from Anopheles coustani, 2123 nucleotides. RefSeq lists it as uncharacterized. The transcript has 3 exons. NCBI's taxonomy places the organism in Eukaryota, Metazoa, Arthropoda, Insecta, Diptera, Culicidae. The record is from RefSeq and is a predicted model, not a curated record.